Molecule: ribosomal RNA, 362 nt
Filed under: uncultured bacterium
Lineage: Bacteria
Description: bacterial SSU rRNA
Rfam family: Bacterial small subunit ribosomal RNA
Source: RNAcentral
GGAUUAGAAACCCUGGUAGUCCACGCCGUAAACGGUGGGCGCUAGGUGUGGGGACCAUUCCACGGUCUCUGUGCCGCAGCUAACGCAUUAAGCGCCCCGCCUGGGGAGUACGGACGCAAGGCUAAAACUCAAAGGAAUUGACGGGGGCCCGCACAAGCGGCGGAGCAUGUGGCUUAAUUCGAUGCAACGCGAAGAACCUUACCUGGGCUUGACAUGUUCGGAAAAACUCGUAGAGAUACGGGGUCCGCAAGGGCCGAUCACAGGUGGCGCAUGGUUGUCGUCAGCUCGUGUCGUGAGAUGUUGGGUUAAGUCCCGCAACGAGCGCAACCCUCGUUCUAUGUUGCCAGCGCGUAAUGGCGGGG